AGUGGAUGGGGAGCAACCUAGUUGUGCGUGUGUAAAGGUAGUGCCAAGAAAAGCGAUGAUCAUGUUGAAAAUCAAUUCCCGGUACCCGAAACCGACACAGGUGGGCAAGUAGAGAAUACUAAGGGGCGCGAGGUAACUCUCUCCAAGGAACUCGGCAAAAUGACCCCGUAACUUAGGGAGAAGGGGUGCCACCGAGAGGUGGUCGCAGUGAAGAGGCCCAGGCGACUGUUUAGCAAAAACGUAGGUCUCUGCAAACUCGAAAGAGGAGGUAUAGGGGCUGACGCCUGCCCAGUGCCGGAAGGUUAAAGAAGUUGGUCAGUCUUAGGAUGAGGCUAGCGACUGAAGCCCCGGUGAACGGCGGCCGUAACUAUAACGGUCCUAAGGUAGCGAAAUUCCUUGUCGGGUAAGUUCCGACCCGCACGAAAGGCGUAACGAUCUGGGCGCUGUCUCGGAGAGAGGCUCGGCGAAAUAGGAUUGUCUGUGAAGAUACGGACUACCUGCAUUUGGACAGAAAGACCCUAUGAAGCUUUACUAUAGCUUGGAAUUGUGUUCGGGCUUCCUGUGCGCAGGAUAGGUGGGAGGCGUAGAAGGUAUUCUUGUGGGGAUACUGGAGCCAACGAUGAGAUACCACUCUCAGGAGGCUAGAAUUCUAACUUAAUUAAGGACAGUUUCAGGUGGGUAGUUUGACUGGGGCGGUCGCCUCCAAAAAGGUAACGGAGGCGUACAAAGGUUCCCUCAGACUGGUUGGAAAUCAGUCGAAGAGUGCAAAGGCAGAAGGGAGCUUGACUGCGAGAAGUACAGUUCGAGCAGGGUGGAAACACGGUCUUAGUGAUCCGACGGUGCUGUGUGGAAGGGCCGUCGUUCAACGGAUAAAAGUUACUCUAGGAUAACAGGCUGAUCUCCCCCAAGAGUUCACAUCGACGGGGAGGUUUGGCACCUCGAUGUCGGCUCAUCGCAACCUGGGGCGGAAGUACGUCCCAAGGGUUGGGCUGUUCGCCCAUUAAAGCGGUACGUGAGCUGGGUUCAGAACGUCGUGAGACAGUUCGGUCCAUAUCCGAUGUAGGCGUGAGAAUAUUGAGAGGAGCCUUCCUUAGUACGAGAGGACCGGGAAGGACGCACCGCUGGUGUGCCUGUUAUGAUGCCAAUUGUAAACGCAGGGUAGCCAAGUGCGGAGAGGAUAACCGCUGAAAGCAUCUAAGUGGGAAGCCCACCUCAAGAUGAGUAUUCUGGUGUAAGGUCACGGGAAGACGACCCGUAAAUAGGCACGAGGUGGAAGUGCAGAGAUGUAUGAAGCCGAAGUGUACUAAUAGACCGUCGGCUUGACC
This 1325-nucleotide ribosomal RNA is filed under the name metagenome. Its description in RNAcentral is "bacterial LSU rRNA". It matches the Rfam family "Bacterial large subunit ribosomal RNA", at positions 1561 to 2925 of the family's 2925-position model. The record is from RNAcentral.